RNAcentral lists this long non-coding RNA (212 nucleotides) under Phoenix dactylifera (date palm). RNAcentral's name for it is "long non-coding RNA (PDAC_LNC009857)". Lineage: Eukaryota; Viridiplantae; Streptophyta; Magnoliopsida; Arecales; Arecaceae. The record is from RNAcentral.
GAUGCCAUUAUGUAGCACCUAACUUUAUUGUCAUCGUUCGUCCACUUGGCAUGCGUCUUACGCUGAUCAGUGAUCGGACAAAUUGGUAAUACGGGGAUUUCAUGGUCUAGCACAUACCCUAAUUUCUCACAAUUCAAAACUAUUUUGAAAUUUGCUGAGCCAGUUUUUAUAAUUGGGUUUGGUCAAACGGUUGUUCUAUAGGAUAUGAGUUA